Molecule: non-coding RNA, 544 nt
Organism: Sorex fumeus (smoky shrew)
Lineage: Eukaryota; Metazoa; Chordata; Mammalia; Eulipotyphla; Soricidae
Source: the annotation of a RefSeq genome assembly
AGGCAGAGCUGUGGUCAAUAAGAUGAUUCUGUGGGGUCUUCUCCUCUGCCUGGAGACAGCCCCCCUGGGUGCUGUGUCUGCUCUGACCCUGCAGGAGUCUGGCCCAGGCCUGGUGAAGCCCUCCCAGACCCUCUCCCUCACCUGCACUGUCUCUGGGGGCUCUGUCACCAGCAGUUACUAUUGGCAUUGGAUCCGCCAGCGCCCUGGGAAAGGGUUGGAAUGGAUGGGGUACUGGUCAGGUGGUACCAGCUACAACCCAGCAUUCCAGGGGCGCAUCUCCAUCACUGCUGACACCUCCAAGAAUCAGUUCUUCCUGAAGCUGAGCUCAGUGACCCCCGAGGACACAGCCAUGUAUUACUGUGCCAGAGACACAGUGAGGGGAAGUCAGGGCGAGCCCAGACACAAACCUCCCUGCUGGGAGAGUGUGGACUGCAGGAGACCACGGCAAGACAUUUUCUCUCUGCAUUACGAGUACAUAGAGGUUUAUCCCUCCAAUGAGCCAAAAGUCAGUCUCCUGGAAUCCUCAGGUCUACAGAUGGACUAA